This 319-nucleotide ribosomal RNA is filed under the name uncultured eukaryote. RNAcentral describes it as "partial 18S ribosomal RNA". It matches the Rfam family "Eukaryotic small subunit ribosomal RNA", at positions 1470 to 1796 of the family's 1831-position model. The record is from RNAcentral.
CCCUUAGAUGUUCUGGGCAGCACGCGCGCUACAAUGGUCUUCGCAAACGGAUGCAUUCUCGAAGGAGAAUGCCAAUCUUGGAAUCUAUGCCUUGGUCGGGACAGUUGCUUGCAAUUUUUCGACUCGAACCAGGAAUUCCUUGUAAUCGUGAUUCAUCACAUCACGAUGAAUACGUCCCUGCCCUUUGUACACACCGCCCGUCGCUCCUACCGAUUGAAUGUUUCGGUGAAGAUUCCGGAUAGGACUGAUUUGAUUUAUUUCAUUUCUGACCUAAAAGCUAUCUAAACCUCAACAUUUAGAGGAAGGUGAAGUCGUAACA